CAGUAGCCGCGGGAAUGCGAAGGGUGCAAGCGUUAAUCGGAAUUACUGGGCGUAAAGCGUGCGUAGGCGGUGAGUUAAGUCUGCUGUGAAAUCCCCGGGCUUAACCUGGGGGCUGCAUUUGAGACGUCAAGACUAGAGUGUGAGAGAGGGUUGUGGAAUUCCCAGUGUAGAGGUGAAAUUCGUAGAUAUUGGGAAGAACACCGGUGGCGAAGGCGGCCCCCUGGACAAAGACUGACGCUCAGGUGCGAAAGCGUGGGGAGCAAACAGGAUUAGAUACCCCCGUAGUCCCUGUCUCUUAUAC
Molecule: ribosomal RNA, 301 nt
Filed under: uncultured bacterium
Lineage: Bacteria
Description: partial 16S ribosomal RNA
Rfam family: Bacterial small subunit ribosomal RNA
Source: RNAcentral